Long non-coding RNA from Myotis myotis, 7022 nucleotides. RefSeq lists it as uncharacterized. Lineage: Eukaryota; Metazoa; Chordata; Mammalia; Chiroptera; Vespertilionidae. The transcript is spliced from 5 exons. The record is from RefSeq and is a predicted model, not a curated record.
UUCUCCUAUAAAAAUACCCAAAAAAUGUUCUAAGUAGAAAUCCAUAUUCCAUCAAGUAAGUUGAGUUUAUAGCAAAGGUUUGAACUGGAGGUAUAAAUGGGGAAUACAUCAACCCACGCACACAGGGACCAAUGGGACUCCAGGAGAGCACAAGGCAGCAAGGGCUGAAUAGUACUGCUGCCUCCAUUCGGAGACGCGACAGAAAGUGAGGUGGGGUGGGGGAGAGCCCGGGGACAGCCAUGUCCAUGGGUCCAAGUGUUUCAAAAGAAUGGAGUGGUUGAGUGCAACAAAUGCUGCUUGGGGGUUGCAGAAGGACGGACAAAAGUAUCCAUUGGAUUUGGCAAUAGGAAGGCUGUUGGUGGCCUUUGAAAAAUCAGUGUAGGGAGGAAGCCAAAUGAUACUGUGUGGAGGAGUAAAUGGGAGGUGACAAGUGAAACAGUACAGUUGAUUCAAGGAUUUUGGCUAUGAAGUGGAGAAAUGGGCCAGGGUAGAGUUUUGUUUUGAAGAUGAGAGACACUAGAGUACGUUCGUAAGGGGAUGACUUCGGAGAAAGGGCAACUGCAGAGCAAGGCCCACUGGAAGGCAGGAUGAACUCCAAAGCACCAGGGGCAGGAGUGAUUUUGAAAGAAAAAACACAUCGAGCCUUUAUUUCAAGAUAUUUCAAGCGGAUGCAAGAUAUUUGAGGAUUUGGGUAGAAGAUCUACAUAUUCUUAUUUCUGAAUGGUGUUUUUAAAAAGCAGAAAUGGACGUUGACCAGUAAGGUGGUUUUACAAUACGUCCACAAAUAAUUUGACACUCUUUUCUCAAGGAGCUAAAGCUUAGUCCCCCUCCCACUGAGUUGGGGCUAGACUUAGUGAAUUGCUUCUAACAGAAUAAGGUGGAAGUGACCUUUUUAAAAUAUAUUUUUAUUGAUUUCAAAGAAGAAGGGAGAGGAAGAGAAGAGAGAGAAACAUCAAUGGUGAGAGAGAAUCAUCGAUUGGCUGCCUCCCACAUGGGUCCCAACAGAGGUUGAACCCCCCAACCUGCUUAUGUGCCCUGACUGGGAAUCUAACUGCCCGCCUUUUGGAGUAGGGGACAACGCUCCAACCACCUGAGCCACCCAGCCAGGCCCGAGUCCUCUUAAAGAUGGAGGCAGGUGGAGCUACAGGAGCCCAGGAGCCAAGUCCCAGAGCGGGAAUUUGAGCUUUGUUGCCUGUCAUUUCCUUUAUCUCUUUGGCCCUUAGAUAGAAGCAGAAGAGACAGAAGGUGAGCCCUGGGGCGGGGUGGGUUGCUCUAGUGUUGAAGUUCUGAGAGGGUCCAUUCCAGUUCCCAGGCUCCAGUGGUACAAAUAAAUAGCUACAUAACUGAUCACCCAAACCCAUCCACUUCUGAGGGUAAGAAGGUGCUAGAAACAAUUAAGCCGGACAACAGGCAUACGCCAAGACUGUCCCAAAUGGUCACUCUGUCUCUGAGGCCACAGGGGAAAGCGGAGGCUGCAUAUCAACCAAGAACCUCAAUGGCAGACUAAACUCCACUGACCUGGGGAAGAGAGAAACGUUCACUUGCACAGGGUUACGUAGUCAAUAAAUAUCUUGUUAGCCAGUCCUUCACUUAGUCACUCAACUAUCAGUUACUGCAAGCCUAUCACAAAGCUAGGAGAAACAUGUGCUACAAGCAGUGAGCAAGAGGAGGACUUCCCCCAGGUGAGUGUGAUGCACAAGGAGGGGCAGUGGCAGCUGCUGGGGACCUGUGGGGGGACCACUUCCAGCUGUGCCUUCACAGAGGCCUCAACUGCUGAGAGCGACUUCACCUAAGGUCACACCCUUCCCGGGCACUCAGAUCCCUCCCUCAACUGGACAGGGAGGGUAUAGAGGCCUGGCCACCUGGCUCAGUGUGGGACAAUCGUGAUGUGGGCCACUUUAGCCCUCAAGCUGCUGGUUUCAUUACCUGCAUCACAGCUUGGCUUCUGCUUCGGGUCAAUCCCGCUUUCGUUCCUCCCCUCCACAGCGGUAGCUGCCUAGGUACUUCCUUAUAAACAUUCUGCCCCUCAACUCAGUCUCAGCAUCCCCUUUCCAAUUUACAACAGCGGGGAGAGGGGAGAGGCCAGGACCUGAAGGCAGGAGGGGUGGAGGAUCCACAUUAUAUCCGUUUAGAAAGUGAAAAAGGACUAUCACGCCUGUAACAUAAUUGGCAGAGUCUGCAAACCCCACCAAAGCCUUGUGGCUAGGAGGGCGAAGGCCCCCAAACUGCUGUUAGAAAGGCUCAUCCUACUCUUACCAGCUGCGUGGCUGCGGGCCACUUUGACCCUCAGUUUCCUUGUCUGUGAAAAGACAUUUUCUAAUUCACAUUCUAAGAAAUUAGUUGAGAAAAAGCACGUUUUACAUUUUAAGAUGCUGUACAGACAUUACUGCUCCUUUCAACUGCUUUUUGAUUCUGAAGAGUUGCCAUUAACGCCUAACUGCUGGCAACUCAAUCAGAAUGUCAAGAGAAAGCGAUGCCAGCCACUGGUGGCCAGUAAUUACUGUUCUCUUUUCCUGUUUUUCUCAACUCAGUGACAUGGGGCUGAGAUAGAGCGUAUGUGUUUUACGAGUACACUGCAGAGUUAUGGUCCAUGCUCUUAAUUUAAAGACUGGGUACAUGAAACCCAUCAUUAACCUACUUUUUAUUUGUACGUAGGUGAUACUCUUGUGAGGCUGGGACUCAAUAAAAAUAAAAAAGAAAAAAGAAAGUUUCCACGCUUGCCAUAGGAAGCCAUCGUAAACCUGAGCUGGGGUCGAAUCACAACGAGAAAUCCAGUGACUUGUUCUGAACUGGCCCCUGCUGGAAAGGCCGGCCCCCACGGGAAGACCCCCAUCUCACCCUCCACACGGAUCCACAGCCUCAGCGUGGGCCCCUCGGCCAGAACCGGGUUCUCCUGUGUCUAAAAUCCCAUGGCCCCGCGUUUCCUCUCAUGACACUUAUCCCAUUCUAUCUAAAACUACAACUAUCGGGAUCAUUUCUUUCCUGCUGGGCUGUGAAGGUAUGACGCGUGCCCCCAGCUGCUAGAUCCCCUUUGCCACUGAUGUAAGCCCGUGGGAAGGCUUGCCGAGUUGAUGAAGGCAGUGGGGAGGGGAAGAACGGAGCCAGGCUUUUCUCUUCCUGCUACCUCUCCGAAGCUCUGCUCACCGGCAACCUGCUUUCUAAGUCUGUACUGGGCCCUGAAUACCGUGAUGGCGAGGCUGACACUGAAAACACUCUUUGUGCACAGUCCCCGCUGGCUUCGCUGGCCCUUUCAUUUCCUCAUCUGGGGGAGGGAGGACUGAGACCUGCUUUGGCAUUUAGGUCGGAGGAACCUUCAACGACCAAGAGCGGUGUGGUGCCUCUGAGAAAGAUGACAUCGAGGGACAGGGGUGAAGGCCAGAGAAUUCCGAGACUGGUCUCUAGGCUGGAGGCAAGCUGGAGUCAUCGGGUCUCAGAGACUCGAGGAGCCAGAGAAAGAGAGAGGUGUCCUGUUUGGCUUGGGUGGUUUUUAAUGGCAGUUUAUAAUAAUAAUUAUAGCUCAGAUUUAUGGAGUGCUCACUCAGGGCCAGGCACCACAUACAUGAUCUCAAUUAAGUUGCUCAGCAUUCUUACAGGAGGAAACUGAGGCACAGAGAGCUCCAGCAACUUGCCUUGAAGUCACACAGCUGGCACGCAAUAGAAUCAGGAUUUGGUUGCAGGCAUUUCUGCUUCAGAGCCAUUUCUCAGGCGCUAUCUUGCUAUUUGCUUGCGCCUCUAGAACCAUGGGUGUCUCCCAGAAGCUGUCCCCUGAAAACUGGGGGCUCCUGUGCUGGCUGGCUUCAGGUGGGGUUUGAGGGAGGAGGCUGGAGGGCAAGCAAAGGGGAGGCCAAGGCAUUUCUUUUCCAAUCUCCUCCUCACCUCACUGAGCUCCCCUAACUCUCUUUCCACCCCUGCCUGCUGGUAGUCUCUGGGUACCCCCACCCCUGCCUGCUCCUGCAAGAAGUCAUUCAUGAAGUCCCUUCAGGGAGCCAUCUAGGGCGAAUGCUGCUUCCCGCCGGAACCACCACUACUCACACGGCUCCCACCUGCUUCACACCGUGUCACACACAGGAGACCGGCAGUGGUGGGAAGAGCUGGCUCCACGCGAAUAAAUGAAGCUGCUGUCUGAUCACGUUAUCAUGCAGGACAGCUGGCCACAACACAAGUUUGUAACAAUGAAAUUGGGGGUCACCACAACAUGAGGAACUGUAUUAAAGGGUCGCGGCAUUAGGAAGGUUGAGAACCACUGCUUUAAAGAGAUCAUCUUCGAUAAUCUGAGUGAGCCUCACCCAAGCAGUUGACAGGCCUUCGGAGCAAAACUGAGGGAGGUUUCCCUGAGGAAGAGGAAAUCCUGCCUCAAGCCUGCUGAAUUCCAACUACCUUAGAGUUCGGACUUGCCAGCCUCUACAACCGUGGCAGCCACUGCCUUGAAAUUAAUCAGGUGCUCAUGAGCAUAUACCACAUCCUGCUGCCAAUGACCCUGCUUCCAGAAACAGCUUAGUUUUCAACAGGUAGAGCCUCUUGCUAAGCAAGCUGAGCACCCAAUUGUGGGCAGGAAAAGGGAGCCAGUGGCUGUGUAACAAAACGGACUGGAACCCUGGAGACCACACGUGGAAGUUAUCAGUGUGACUGUAUUUGGAAUCUGAAGCCUUGUGGAUGUCAUUAGUAAAGACGAACAGGGCGGGACCCUAAUCCGACACGACACUGGUGACCUUAUGGAAAGGAAACUGGGAUACUGACACGCACAAGGAGAACGCCAUCGGAAGAUGAAAGCAGAGAUUGGGGCGAGGGUUGCCAGAGAUUGCCAGCCAAGUGCCAGAGGCCAGGGCCUGGAACCGCCUCUCCCUCAUGGCCCUCGGAAUGAACCAACCCUGCCAACACCUUCGUCUCCAGAACUGCGAGACGGUACGCUCCUACUCCUUAAGCCACCCAGGUGGCGGCACGAGGACACUCAUGCUGUGACCUAUGCCAUCCCUUCCUAUACCAGGCCAGAGGUGCUUCAGGUGGCAAAGAGAAGAGCCUGCUGUGCGCCUUGGUAGCACUGCGAAGUGUGUAAUCACCGGACAAUUUCUGAAUCCUAGUUGUGCAUUAAAAACUGGCAAGGGUUUGAAAUCCCAUCUACCUGCCACUGCCUAGGCACCGGGGACUCUCUCUGCUUUUGAAAGGAAAAACAAUUUUUCCUUUACCCAUCAAGGACCCUCCUCUUCCCCUUCUUCUUCGAGGCAAGUAUUGAUCAUAUCAGAUUCUUCCCGUGACCCGAAAACACACAGUCCACUGCACGAAGUGAACCAAGAGGUCCUGCGGGCCCCUCACCUAGCAGGGGGUGCCCAUUCCAGGGCAGGAAACCACAUCAAAAGGACCACAGGCCCUCUCGGUCUCCAAGUGGCACCAGCUCCUGGAACAUGGGAGCCGGCUGUGAGCAGUCACCCGUCCUCAGAAUCCCUCCAUCCAGGAAUAGCCAAGAGAAUAGCGCAAAUCAUGUAAAAGCCUUGAAAAGUCAUCUGUGUUUUUUAAAUCCUUAAUCGGCACUGAUCUAAAGACAGCCCAAGACUGAUGGCAGUCCACAACCAUUUGCAUCUGGUCCAGAUGAGUGGCAAGUGCAUUUUCCCAAUUCUGUGGAACCACAGACCUCCAAACCUUCAUGAUUGCCAAGAUGAGUUGGGAAGAAAGCGAACCUGGAUCUGCUUCCUGCAAAAAUGUCAAUAUUUUCUACAACAAACAGGGAGGGGAGGACCCUCACUGGAAUGCCAUCUGUCCUUGUCUGUGGGAGCCGGCCGGAGAAUGUUUUCACAGCCAAGAGAUUACUUGGCAUCACUGACACAGAAAUUCAGCAGGGUGGCUUACAGGCCAGGAGCUGGCUGAUUUAAAGAGAUACUUUGCUAUGUGAAAACUGGAAGCAUAGGAAAGUGUUUCAGUUUUGAAACUGCUAGACUAAAGGACUGUUUACUUAUUCAAAAUGUUUCUCAUAGGAAUCUUUUUUUAAAAAGAUAUUUUUUAUUGAUUUCAGAGAGGAGGAGACAGAGAGGGAGAGAGAAACAUCAAUGAUGAGAGAGAAUCAUUGAUUGGCUGCCUUCUGCACGCCCCCUACUGGGGAUCGAGCCAGCAACCUGGGCAUGUGCCCUUGACCGGAAUCGAACCCAGGACCCUUCAGUCUGCAGGCCAAUGCUCUAUCCACUGUGCCAAAUUGGCUAGGGCUCUCAUAGGAAUCUUUUAGUCAGCAGAAUCGCUUAAUUUAUUUAAAUAUUAGAUUAUUAACAAGUUAUUUUGUUGCUCAGCCUUUUAGGAAGUGAGCAGCUGAUAAAACGAGAUACGGUUCCUCUUAUAUAGUUUCAUUAUUUCAGUUUCAUUAUACUAUGCUGUUUCUUAAGCAAAUAAACACCCUUCUUUUUAAAAAAAAAAAUAUUUUAUUGAUUUUUUACAGAGAGGCAGGGAGAGGAAUAGAGAGUUAGAAACAUCGAUGAGAGAGAAACAUCAAUCAGCUGCCUCCUGCAUACCCCCUACUGGGGAUGUGCCUGCAGCCAAGGUACAUGCCCUUGACUGGAAUCAAACCUGGGACCCUUUAGUCCUAAACGCCCUUCUAUUACAUAUGGAAACUCAGUUCUGUUGCAGUUUGAGGUUCAACACACAAAGCCCAGCUUCUGACAUAUGUAUGGUCAGUUGCCUAAACUGAGUUCCAAAGAAGGGUCUUAGCUGCCUGGUUUCCUGUGGAGGAAACCCAGACCACUUUGAACAGCAACCCGAAGAGGAAUUCACCAGGUCAUCUUGGGUGGGAGUGAAAUUCUUUCAACUUCAUUUGGCAGCUUUCAGGGCCCAGCUCCCUUCCUGGGGGGUGUUGCUCUGUGGGAUGUUUGCCACUCAAUGUCUAAUCCAUCUGUGUGGGUCCAGCUCUUCCUGAAAACAUACUCAUUUGAAAAAAUAAAAAUAGCCCAGCCGGUGUGACUCAGUGGCUUAGUGUUGACCUAUGAACCAGGAGGUCUCGGUUGGAUUCCCGGUCAGGGCACAUGCCCGGGUUGCGGGCUCAGUCU